UUUGAGAGAACAUUAGAAAAUCUUAGUAUGCCUUUCUUUCCCCAGUGAUGUUCUGCCAUGGACGGCAGAACAAGGCUUCACGAGCCACGGAUGGCUCGUUGAAUGCCGUUCACGUCACCUCAAAAUAAUCCUCGUCAGGCAUACCUAGACUUUUCUUCUGUUCUCCCAUU
Roseburia sp. 831b is the source of this 170-nucleotide non-coding RNA. The record is from Rfam. Lineage: Bacteria; Bacillati; Bacillota; Clostridia; Lachnospirales; Lachnospiraceae.